CAGCCGCCGCGGUAAUACGUAGGGUCCGAGCGUUGUCCGGAAUUACUGGGCGUAAAGAGCUCGUAGGUGGUUUGUCGCGUUGUUCGUGAAAACUCACAACUCAAUUGUGGGCGUGCGGGCGAUACGGGCAGACUGGAGUACUGCAGGGGAGACUGGAAUUCCUGGUGUAGCGGUGGAAUGCGCAGAUAUCAGGAGGAACACCGGUGGCGAAGGCGGGUCUCUGGGCAGUAACUGACGCUGAGGAGCGAAAGCGUGGGGAGCGAACAGGAUUAGAUACCCCGGUAGUCCCUGUCUCUUAUAA
Molecule: ribosomal RNA, 301 nt
Filed under: uncultured bacterium
Lineage: Bacteria
Description: partial 16S ribosomal RNA
Rfam family: Bacterial small subunit ribosomal RNA
Source: RNAcentral